Tarenaya hassleriana is the source of this 2139-nucleotide long non-coding RNA. RefSeq lists it as uncharacterized. The record is from RefSeq and is a predicted model, not a curated record. The transcript is spliced from 9 exons. NCBI's taxonomy places the organism in Eukaryota, Viridiplantae, Streptophyta, Magnoliopsida, Brassicales, Cleomaceae.
GUUCAUCCUGAGACCAAACUCAAGUUGCUCACCAACCCCCUCACUCUCGACCGUCGUCGCCUCGUCGCUGUCGCCUACGCUGUCGCCGUUAGUCCGUCGCGUUCAUCCUAAGGGUUUCGGUGAUGAUUCUGCAGAUUUUGGUUCCGUCGAAUCCCCGAGGUGCAGAGAUGCUUGGUUCAGGUAUCGUUGCGGCUGAAUCAGAUUUCAACUUACGCAGAUUGUGGGGAUUACCUGAGGAGCAAACUUCACCAUUGUUCUGUUCCAUUGUGAUGGACGAGUUUCUGAAUGGGAAGAAUUCAAAUGGUCUGAGCGAGCAAUACUCACGAGUGUGCGAAAGCAGACCAACACAAUUUGUGUUUUCUGUUCUUCAAAUAUGCCGGUGCUCGCUUUUGAUUCUUUCAAACCUUUCGCGUCUUGGGAUUUUUUCCCUCUGUUUUGAAGGUGUUACGCUAAAGGUUUCUGCAUCAUAUGACUGCCUACUCAUCUGGAAUGGGGUUGAACACUCCAACGCAGAAACGUAGCAGGUAGUACAUUGAGCUCAUCAAGAAGCACAGUCUGGGGAUCUUGCAGCCUGCUGUGGAAUCCAAGAAAAAGAUAACAUGGGAGAUAACAAAGAGAGAAACCGAAGGCAAAGUUCACAAAGUUGCCAAGGAGAAACCUGGCUAUUGCAACAGUCCCCAUCUGCCUCCCUGUGCCGGAGAUGGAUCACAUGUCAAAAGUCAUAUCUUCGUGCAAAACAAUGUUCAUUUGGCUUCUGAAUUCAACAUAAGGCUUCCAUGUGAUUGUGUAGGUUUAUAGAGAUCAUGGCUCCAGUAUUUUCAAGAUGAGCAUGGCUGUCUGUGGUAUAUGAUUCAGAAUGGCUUGAUACACUGUUGGGGUCUGGAUUUUGCUCUUAGAAAAUGUGUUGAAACAUGCAUUUUUCUUGGAUACCUGCGAGUACCCGAACGUCUUGUCGAAUACUCAUAGCACGGCCACCCGAGGCCCUCGGAUACGCAUACGGGUAUCAAAAUUCGAUUCCUGAGUACUUCGGGAAGCUUGUGGUGCUACAUAGGUGUCGUGCUGAUUUAGGAGCAGAGAUGCUAGCUCAAAACCUUUGACCUUGGGACCUAAGGCCUCUGGUUCCUUUGCGGAUACUUGUGGAGAUGUUUAAAAGGAUGAAGAUUAAAAACGAGUUGAAUGAACCCUUCACAGGUGGAAAGAGUCGCUGCGUUUUGUCAUUCUGGCUUUUGGAGGGAUAAUAAGAUGAGCCAUUUUAUUAGAAACCAGGUCAGCGUAUGUAUGUAAAAUCGUUAUGUUUUGACAGUUGUCCCAGUUAUUAAAAAAGUAAGUUGUGGAAAACGUAGGGGUAAUAAUUGCUUGUGCGAACGCUGGUUAUGAUAUUGUCUGCUGCUGGGAAGUAUUACGGUUGGAAGGUAUAUGUAUUUUAACCUCUGCUGUGCUGUUGUUACAUUACAUUUUCGUGAUAGAUAUAUCAAUAUGGUGGCGAUUUGCGUUUUGGUUAGUCAUCUGACGUUUUCAUGAGCAGAAAGGAUUAUAGAGCAGAUAGCAUCGCCUGCUAAUGUCGACGACGACGGAGAGAGAAAGAUCCUAUCGCUCGCCAUCUAUAUUCUUGGGUGUCACAUGUGUUGUUUUAUUUUGUAAAUGGCCUCGCGCUUUGCUCUGGGUUUAAUUUGGCUGCACGAUCACCGCGGCCGUUCAGCCUCACUUGCGGCUGUGUAUCCCCGCUAUACCCCAAGUCUUUCAACCCAACACGGCCUCUUAAAACUCUGAUCACUGCCCUAUAUGGCAACCUACGGUGUACGAUGAGAUCCCUACCUGCCCGCCGAUCUCAGUGUAGGCCAAUAUUCCUGUGCAAUGUUGCUCAUAUUGUCGCCCAUUGAGUUCCUACAGGGCUUUUCCUUGAGAAAUGACAGCCCAGUCAAGGCCCAAACUGUCUGUACUAAAUCCCAGUUUACAAAAUGCCGCCAUGUUGCCGGUAUCGUGCUGCCCCAAUUGUGGGCUUAAGACCACGAGGUGUUAGGCGGCCCCAUUCAGUUCCAACAUUAUACCGAAUGGCCAUAUUGGCCCAAGUACGAUCCAGUAACAAUGUAAAUUGUAGCCCGCGUGUCAUGGCGGCCCAAUUUAGGCUCUGCUUAUUUA